This 253-nucleotide ribosomal RNA is filed under the name uncultured bacterium. Its description in RNAcentral is "partial 16S ribosomal RNA". It matches the Rfam family "Bacterial small subunit ribosomal RNA", at positions 524 to 776 of the family's 1533-position model. The record is from RNAcentral.
UACGUAGGGUGCGAGCGUUAAUCGGAAUUACUGGGCGUAAAGCGUGCGCAGGCGGUUCUUUAAGUCAGAUGUGAAAGCCCCGGGCUCAACCUGGGAACGGCAUUUGAAACUGGCGGGCUGGAGUGUGGCAGAGGGGGGUGGAAUUCCACGUGUAGCAGUGAAAUGCGUAGAGAUGUGGAGGAACACCGAUGGCGAAGGCAGCCCCCUGGGCCAACACUGACGCUCAGGCACGAAAGCGUGGGGAGCAAACAGG